CCUCCCUACUCCUCUUAAUGCCCAUCCCAGCCAGGCUUGGUCUCGUGGUAGGGCUCUGAUCUCGCCAGAGACCUCCCAAGCUCCUGGGAUGGGUUCUCUCCGAUCCCUGGGUGAAGUUCAAAGCUUUCCCUCCCUUCCCUGCCCCUGCUGCCGCGGGGUGUUUAAUGUGCGGCCAGAGUUCCCUGCUCGCCGGCGCCCCGCGUUUGAACCGCUGCUUUUCAGCUCUGUCUGAAAAGGAGUCGGCGCGGGGCCUCUCCUCUUAAUUGCAGAGGAGGUGAACAUGGAAAAGCCUCAGGCUGUUGCUAAUGCAGGCGAAGGAGGCUGCUCCAGAGGCAGAGCCUUCUCCCAGGCGUCCUCCCAGCGGGGUGGUACCCGACCCGGAGCUCUCAUCCUGGGCAUGCUCCAGCAGCAAGGACUGGCGGCGGAGCUGGAGAGCUGGAUCCCGCUGAGAGGAUGAAAACAUGGGGCUCAAGUUAUCCUGCCUGAAAGGCUUGAAGACGUGCGUGAGCAGCGGGAACGGCAGCGACCGGCCCCCGACGGCGUCCUCGGGGGAGAAGCACCUGCACGUGCCCUCCAUCAUCGUCACGCCGCCCACACCCACGGGGACCAUCCUGUCCCGAGAGGGGCGGAGGGCGGGGGGGCCGCAUCCGUGCAGCCAGUGCUGAGUGGGGACAGGGGGGACACCAUCCCGGCGGGAUGUGUCCCCGCUCCGCUGGGAUGGAGCUGCAGCCUCCAGGAUGCGACUCAGCCGGAUCCAGCACCCCGGGAGCUCCGCAGGGACACACGUGGCACCCACACGGGUGGGUUUGGACAACAGUGACUGGUUUUUCUCCCUUUUCCUAACAGCACUGUGGAGGGGGUGGCACUGCGUGGAUCCCCCUGCUGAAUAAAACCCCUGGGGCUCUGCCCCCCCCC
Molecule: long non-coding RNA, 915 nt
Organism: Pseudopipra pipra
Lineage: Eukaryota; Metazoa; Chordata; Aves; Passeriformes; Pipridae
Exons: 3
Source: RefSeq, a predicted model, not a curated record